Long non-coding RNA from Cercocebus atys (sooty mangabey), 2914 nucleotides. RefSeq lists it as uncharacterized. The record is from RefSeq and is a predicted model, not a curated record. NCBI's taxonomy places the organism in Eukaryota, Metazoa, Chordata, Mammalia, Primates, Cercopithecidae. The transcript has 5 exons.
AGCAGGAAGCCCGUCGGACCCGACUCUUUGCUGACUCUUUCAUCUCCCAGCAGCUCCAGGAAGCAACAACAACAAAAAAAGGGGAGUCUGCUGCCAUCACCCCCAUCCAAACCAGGCUCAGGAAAUUUUCCAGGGCCAGGCUGCCUUUGUGGAAGCUAUGUAAGGACUGGAGAAACACGUGUUCUCAUGCAAACAAACCCCACAACAAAACAAGAGAUGCUGCCUUUGGACUGGACUUUGUCCAGCCUGGAGUCACAGUGCCAGUCAAGAGCCCCUCCAGAAUACUUGUACCUGGAUCUUCACUAGGGCCGGCCAGAGCAGAAUGCAGUGUUCUCAGGACUGCGAAGCUGGGUCACCCACACCUGGUUGGACUUGAUAAGUGUCAUAACCUAACGAAGGAUGCCAUUCUGUACUCUCCAGUGCCUGGGGGAGCCCCAGUGGGAACGGAUCCAGAUGGUGCUGGGCCUGGGCCAACAGUGAAAUGGGGGAGGACGGGUCCUUUCUCUCCUUUGUCCCUAACCUCCCCACUUCCUACUGCUGUCUGACUCAGAACUCUCAUGAAAAACCCAACUUCUUACACUGAUAUUUCCCAGAGGCCUAAUUGUGCAACAAGAAAUAAAAACACAAUUAGAGAACUGAGGUCCAGCAGGAAAUUCACAUUACAUAAAUAAGACCUGGAGUGUGUAGGGGAGCGCCCCAACUCCCAGCCUUGUUAGUACUGAAGGCUGCGAGCACACAGCUAAGGGAUCCUCUGAUUUGGUGGAUAACCCUUGUGAACAAUAGUUCUCUGAAAAGGGAUUUAGAGGAAAGAGACUUUAUUCCUGUAAACAGUUUUCAAACUAGGGAAAGGCAGCCUUCGGUGUAAAAUGAAGGCGCUUUCCAGACAACAAAGGAGGGGCUGGGCUUUUAUAGAGAAAGUUCCUGCCUAUGUUUUCACUCAGGUCCACUUAUGCAAAUAAAAGAUUCAAACUUGCUUAAUCUGAUUGGUUGAUGCUUGCUGAGUUCUGAUUUGUUGACACAGGUCAUAGUCUAUUGGUUGGUUUGGGCAACAUAAACAGGAACAGGAAGCUAUGAAAGUCCCAAAGUUAAGCAGAUGUGGGUUUUUCCGGCAACUCAAAAUACACGCGUGACUUCUAGUCAGCAAGUUGCCGCUUGGCUCUAAAUUGAAUUUAAGCCCCAUUAGCCAGAGUGUGAACCUUGAGAGAGCUGGCCUUUCAAGGUUCACACUCUUCACAUGGGCUGGAGAGAUUCCUAUCAUGACUGAUUUUUCCAUUCAUCCAUUGACAGACACUUGGAUUGCUUCCACCUUUAGGGUGUUGUGGAUAACACCAACACUCCUACAAACAUGGGUGUACAAAAGGCUAAUUCUCAACCAUGGUUUAUGUAGCUAGAGGGAAAAUGCCAAAAGCUGCAUUAUGAGAAACAGUAAAGUCAAAACUGGAAAGACGGAUCAAAGCGUAGUGUCUCCCUGAAACCCCUCCUACUAGGCUUGAGGUGAAGGAGAAGCACAGGAAGAAAAGUGCCUCAGUGCUCCAACAACUUUUUCCAAAGAAACCCUCUUUCUCAUUUCCAACUUUAAACCUUUUAAAGCUUUGACUGGCAUAGAGCUAAGGGUUGGAAAACAUCAUCACUUCCCUGCUUUGCAAGUCUGUGUGGAUAGUUGUAUGUUAUCACCAAAGGUGGCCACCAUCAUUUCCUUCUCUCCCUAUAUGUGAUUUCCUUCUCUAUUGGCUUCAUUCAUCAAGAAGUAGAGGCGAUUCCUGCUCUUCCUCUUUGAACUUGGGCUAGCCCUGUGAUUUGUCUUCACCAUUGGACAUGGAGGAAGUGAUAUGGUGCCGGUGCUUAGCCUGGCCUUUGAGAGACCUGACAUCUUCGACUCUCUCUCAGGAGAGAAUGCAGCAGGCAUGUAAGAAGGCUGAUGAAUCAGACCACCAUAUUAUGAGGAAGCCCAAGCUAGCCGCAUGGAAAGGGCACACAGAGAGUGGAGGAACCAAACCAACAGAAGCCUGAAGUCCCCAGCCAUACGACCCAGGCUCUUAGCAUGCUGAAGCUGGGAGGGAGCUUCGAGAUGAUGAGGACGCCAAGGUCUCGUGAGGGGCUGCCCUGGUGAACACAGGCCCCGGUACUGAAUAAGUCCUUCCCGGUUCGAACUCGAUUGUCACGGUGUCAUUUUUGCCAGCUUCCAUCGACUCUGCUCAUCUCUGUUUCCUUGUUGUUAAAGGGGACAGCAAUGGCACAAUUCUCAUCUGGCUGCGUCGAUGAUUAAAUAAGGUAUUUAAUCCUUGAUGUGGCGCCUGGCACUUAGUAAGUGCCCAUAAAGUGGGUGGCUCAUGGCUAUCACUCCUGGGCCUUGUUCUCACAGCGGCAUUCCUGCUCCUGUGUUUGCCCUCUGUUUGGUUACCAUGGGUGCUGUGUUUGUGCAGAGCUUCAGCAGGACUUGGUGCUGCGAACAUUCAUCUUGCCUCUGCCUGGUGAUCUGGUGAGCAGGUGCUGCUGUCUGUAAGAGGAAGGGGCCAGCUGCCCACGGGACAGCAGCAGCUGUCUGGCCUCCCCGGGCUAGUGGCCAGGGGGCUGCCUUCCCCAUCAGGGGUGGCACCCACUCAGAGUACUUUUGCUUUUGGGACUCAGCCGGACGUCUGUUUUGGGUGAGAGGAUGCCCGCUCUUCCUUCCCUCCCAGGAUGCCCCUGUUUCAGGCUCUCUGCAGCAGUCCUGCCUUGAAUUGGCUGUGUGAUCUGAGGCUGGUCACUUAACCUCUCUGGUUAUCCAUAUCCUCAUCCAUAGAAUGGAGAUAAUCAUUCUCACCACUGAGGGAUGCUGUGAGGAUCGGGCAAGUCCACAAGUGUGACCUUUUAGCACGUUCGGCCUCUUCUGUGAUCCUGAAGUCACGUUUGACACUGGCGGCAUCCACAUCCG